RNAcentral lists this ribosomal RNA (514 nucleotides) under uncultured bacterium. RNAcentral's name for it is "bacterial SSU rRNA". It matches the Rfam family "Bacterial small subunit ribosomal RNA", at positions 8 to 518 of the family's 1533-position model. The record is from RNAcentral.
AGAGUUUGAUUCUGGCUCAGGAUGAACGCUGGCGGCGUGCCUAAUACAUGCAAGUCGUGCGGGUAGCUUGCUACCCAGCGGCGAACGGGUGAGUAACACGUAGGUAACCUGCCUUUAAGACUGGGAUACCCAGAGGAAACUUUGGCUAAUACCGGAUAACAACGGGAGCGGCAUCGCUCCCGCUUGAAAGUCGCGUUUGCGGCACUUUUAGAUGGACCUGCGGAACAUUAGCUAGUUGGUGAGAUAACAGCCCACCAAGGCGAGGAUGUUUAGCCGACCUGAGAGGGUGAACGGCCACAAUGGGACUGAGACACGGCCCAUACUCCUACGGGAGGCAGCAGUAGGGAGUUUUCGGCAAUGGGGGCAACCCUGACCGAGCAACGCCGCGUGAGUGAAUUAAGGUCUUCGGAUUGUAAAGCUCUGUUGUAAGGGAAGAAUGCUUGCUUCAGGAAAUGGGAGCGAGAGUGACGGUACCUUACCAGAAAGGGACGGCUAACUACGUGCCAGCCGCUGC